UAGCAUAUCAAUAAGCGGAGGAAAAGAAACCAACAGGGAUUGCCCUAGUAACGGCGAGUGAAGCGGCAACAGCUCAAAUUUGAAAUCUGGCCCUUUUGGGGGUCCGAGUUGUAAUUUGCAGAGGGUGCUUUGGCGUUGGCUGUGGUCUAAGUUCCUUGGAACAGGACGUCGCAGAGGGUGAGAAUCCCGUAUGUGGCCGCCAGUCUUCGCCGUGUAAAGCCCCUUCGACGAGUCGAGUUGUUUGGGAAUGCAGCUCUAAAUGGGAGGUAAAUUUCUUCUAAAGCUAAAUAUUGGCCAGAGACCGAUAGCGCACAAGUAGAGUGAUCGAAAGAUGAAAAGCACUUUGGAAAGAGAGUCAAAAAGCACGUGAAAUUGUUGAAAGGGAAGCGCUUGCAGCCAGACUUGCUUGCAGUUGCUUAGCCAGGCUUUUGCCUGGUGUACUCUUCUGCAUGCAGGCCAGCAUCAGUCCGGGCGGUUGGAUAAAGGCCUAUUAAACGUACCUCUCUUCGGGGAGGACUUAUAGGGUAGGUGCCAUGCAACCAGCCUGGAUUGAGGUCCGCGCAUCUGCUAGGAUGCUGGCGUAAUGGCUGUAAGCGGCCCGUCUUGAAACACGGACCAAGGAGUCUAACAUCUAUGCGAGUGUUUGGGUGUCAAGCCCGAGCGCGUAAUGAAAGUGAACGGAGGUGGGAACCUUUCGGGGUGCACCAUCGACCGAUCCUGAUGUCUUCGGAUGGAUUUGAGUAAGAGCAUAGCUGUUGGGACCCGAAAGAUGGUGAACUAUGCCUGAAUAGGGUGAAGCCAGAGGAAACUCUGGUGGAGGCUCGCAGCGGUUCUGACGUGCAAAUCGAUCGUCAAAUUUGGGCAUAGGGGCGAAAGACUAAUCGAACUAUCUAGUAGCUGGUUCCUGCCGA
Molecule: ribosomal RNA, 911 nt
Filed under: Alfoldia vorosii
Lineage: Eukaryota; Fungi; Ascomycota; Dothideomycetes; Pleosporales; Amorosiaceae
Description: partial large subunit ribosomal RNA
Rfam family: Eukaryotic large subunit ribosomal RNA
Source: RNAcentral